CCAUGAUCAUCUUGUCACCGGCUUGACACCAUGAUCUCCAUCAUCAUGAUCUCCAUCAUCGUGUCUUCAUGAAGUUGUCACGCCAACGACUACUUCUACUUCUAUGACUAACGCGUUUAGCAAUGAAGUAAAGUAGUUUACAUGGCGUUCUUCAAUGACACGCAGGUCAUACAAAAAAUAAAGACAACUCCUAUGGCUCCUGCCGGUUGUCAUACUCAUCGACAUGCAAGUCGUGAAUCCUAUUACAAGAACAUGAUCUCAUACAUCACAAUUCAUCAUUCAUCACAACUUCUGGCCAUAUCACAUCACAUGAUCAAUCGCUGCAAAAACAAGUUAGACGUCCUCUAAUUGUUGUUGCAUCUUUUACGUGGCUGCGAUUGGGUUCUAGCAAGAACGUUUUCUUACCUACGAAUCACCACAACGUGAUUUUGUCAACUUCUAUUUACCCUUCAUAAGGGCCUUGUUCAUCGAAUCCGCUCCAACUAAAGUGGGAGAGACAGACACCCGCCAGCCACCUUAUGCAACUAGUGCAUGUCAGUCGGUGGAACCGGUCUCACGUAAGCGUACAUGUAAGGUUGGUCCGGGCCGCUUCAUCCCACAAUACCGUUGAGCAAGAAAAGACUAGUAGAGGCAAGUAAGAUGACAAGAUCCAUGCCCACAACAAAUUGUGCUCUACUCGUGCAUUAGAGAACUACGCAUAGACCUAGCUCAUGAUGCCACUGUUGGGGAACGUUGCAGAAAAUUAAAAAUUUUCCUACGGUUUCACCAAGAUCCAUCUAUGAGUUCAUCUAAGCAACGAGUAUUGGGAGAGAGUUUGCAUUUACAUACCACUUGUAGAUCGCGUGCGGAAGCUUGCAAGGUGAUGAUGGAGUCGUACUCGGACGUGAUUCAGAUCACCGAUGUCCAAGUGCUGAACGGACAGCACCUCCGCGUUCAACACACGUACGGGACGAGCGACGUCUCCUCCGUCUUGAUCCAGCAAGGAGGAAGGAGAGGUUGAGGAAGACAGCUCCACCGGCAGCACGACGGCGUGGUGAUGGUGGAGACGCAGUACUCCGACAGGGCUUCGCCAAGCGCUCGCGGAGGAGGAGAGGUGUUGGGGAGGGGAGGGGCUGCGCCUUGGAGAUGGGUGCUGCAGCCCCCCUCCCUCCCCCCUUUAUAUAGGCCCCCUGGGGGGGGGCGCCGGCCCCUGGAGAUCCAAUCUCCAAGGGGGGGCGGCGGCCAAGGGGGUGGAGUGCCCCCCAAGCCAAGUGGGGCGCCCCCCCCACCCCUAGGGUUUCAACCCUAGGCGCAGGGGUGGGCCUAGGGGGGCGCACCAGCCCACUAUGGGCUGGUUCCCCUCCCACUUCAGCCCAUGGGGCCCUCCGGGAUAGGUGGCCCCACCCGGUGGACCCCCGGGAUCCUUCUGGUGGUCCCGGUAUAUUACCGGGAGACCCCGAAACUUUCCCGAUGGCCGAAAUACCACUUCCUAUAUAUUAUUCUUUACCUCCGGACCAUUCCGAAACUCCUCGUGGUGUCCGGGAUCUCAUCCGGGACUCCGAACAACAUUCGGUAGUCACAUACUAGUCUUCCUAAUAACCCUAGCGUCACCGAACCUUAAGUGUGUAGACCCUACGGGUUCGGGAGACACGCAGACAUGACCGAGACGACUCUCGGGCAAUAACCAACAACGGGGUCUGGAUACCCAUGUUGGCUCCCACAUGCUCCUCGAUGAUUUCAUCGGUUGAACCACGAUGUCGAGGAUUCGAUCAAAACCCUGUAUUCAAUUCCUUUUGUCAAUCGGUACGUUACUUGCCCGAGACUCGAUCGUCGGUAUCCCAAUACCUUGUUCAGUCUCGUUACCGGCAAGUCACUAUACUCGUACCGUAAUGCAUGAUCCCGUGGCCAACACCUUGGUCACCUUGAGCUCAUUAUGAUGAUGCAUUACCGAGUGGGCCCAGAGAUACCUCUCCGUCAUACGGAGUGACAAAUCCCAGUCUCGAUCCAUGUCAACCCAACAGAUACUUUCGGAGAUACCUGUAAUGCACCUUUAUAGUCACCCAGUUACGUUGUGACGUUUGAUACACCCAAGGCACUCCUACGGUAACCGGGAGUUACACGAUCUCAUGGUCGAAGGAAGAGAUACUUGACAUUGGCAAAGCUUUAGCAAACGAACUACACGAUCUUUUAUGCUAUGCUUAGGAUUGGGUCUUGUCCAUCACAUCAUUCUCCUAAUGAUGUGAUCCCGUUAUCAACGACAUCCAAUGUCCAUAGUCAGGAAACCAUGACUAUCUGUUGAUCACAACGAGCUAGUCUACUAGAGGCUCACUAGGGACAUUUGUGGUCUAAGUGUUCACACGUGUAUUACGAUUUCCGGAUAAUACAGUUAUAGCAUGAACAAAAGACAAUUAUCAUGAACAUUGAAAUAUAAUAAUACUUUUAUUAUUGCCUCUAGGGCAUAUUUCCAACAGUCUCCCACUUGCACUAGAGUCACCAAUCUAGUUACAUUGUGAUGAAUCGAACACCCAUAGAGUUCUGGUGUUGAUCAUGUUUUGCACGUGAGAGAGGUUUAGUCAACGGAUCUGCGACAUUUAGAUCCGUGUGCACUUUGCAAAUCUCUAUGUCUCCAUCUUGAACAUUUUCACGGAUGGAGUUGAAACGACGCUUGAUGUGCCUGGUCUUCUUGUGAAACCUGGGCUCCUUGGCAAGGGCAAUAGCUCCAGUGUUUUCACAGAAGAGUUUGAUCGGCCCCGACGUAUUGGGUAUGACUCCUAGGUCGGUGAUGAACUCCUUCACCCAAAUCGCUUCAUGCGCUGCCUCCGAGGCUGCCAUGUACUCCGCUUCACAUGUAGAUCCCGCCACGACGCUCUGCUUGCAGCUGCACCAGCUUACUGCUCCACCAUUCAACAUAUACACGUAUCCGGUUUGUGACUUAGAGUCAUCCAGAUCUGAGUCAAAGCUAGCGUCGACGUAACCCUUUACGACGAGCUCUUCGUCUCCUCCAUAAACGAGAAACAUGUCCUUUGUCCUUUUCAGGUACUUCAGGAUAUUCUUGACCGCUGUCCAGUGUUCCUUGCCGGGAUUACUUUGGUAUCUUGCAACCAAACUUACGGCAAGGUUUACAUCGGGUCUGGUACACAGCAUGGCAUACAUAAUAGAUCCUAUGGCUGAAGCAUAGGGGAUGACACUCAUCUCUUCUUUAUCUUUUGCUGUGGUCGGUGACUGAGCUGAGCUCAAUCUCACACCUUGUAACAUAGGCAAGAACCCUUUCUUGGACUGAUCCAUUUUGAACCUCUUCAAAAUCUUAUCAAGGUAUGUGCUUUGUGAAAGACCUAUGAGGCGUCUCGAUCUAUCUCUAUAGAUCUUGAUGCCUAAUAUAUAAGCAGCUUCUCCAAGGUCCUUCAUUGAAAAACACUUAUUCAAGUAGGCCUUAAUGCUGUCCAGAAAUUUCGUAUCAUUUCCCAUCAAGAGUAUGUCAUCUACAUAUAAUAUGAGAAAUGCUACAGAGCUCCCACUCACUUUCUUGUAAACGCAGGCUUCUCCAUAAGUCUGCAUAAACCCAAACGCUUUGAUCAUCUCAUCAAAGCGAAUGUUCCAACUCCGAGAUGCUUGCACCAGUCCAUAAAUGGAUCACUGGAGCUUGCAUACUUUGUUAGCGUUCUGAGGAUCGACAAAACCUUCCGGCUGCAUCAUAUACAGCUCUUCCUUAAGAUGUCCGUUAAGGAACGCCGUUUUGACGUCCAUCUUCCAUAUCUCAUAAUCAUAGUAUGCGGCAAUUGCUAACAUGAUUCGGACGGACUUCAGCUUCGCUACGGGAGAGAAUGUCUCGUCGUAGUCAAUCCCUUGAACUUGUCGAUAACCCUUAGCGACAAGUCGAGCUUUAUAGAUGGUAACAUUACCAUCCGCGUCCGUCUUCUUCUUAAAAAUCCAUUUAUUUCCUAUCGCUCGCCGAUCAUCGGGCAAGUCUGUCAAAGUCCAUACUUUGUUUUCAUACAUGGAUUCUAUCUCGGAUUUCAUGGCUUCAAGCCAUCUGUUCGGGCCUGCCAUCGCUUCUUCAUAGUUCGAAGGUUCAUUGUUGUCUAACAACAUGAUUUCCAUGACAGGGUUGCCGUACCACUCUGGUGCGGAACGUGUCCUCGUGGACCUUCGAAGUUCAGUAGUAACUUGAUCCGAAGUACCUUGAUCAUCAUCAUUGUUUUCCUCUUCAGUUGGUGUGGGCAUCACAGGAACGGUUUCCUGCGCUGCACCACUUUCCCGUUCGAGAGGUAGUACUUCAUCGAGUUCUACUUUCCUCCCACUUACUUCUUUCGAGAGAAACUCUUUUUCCAGAAAGCAUCCGUUCUUGGCAACAAAGAUCUUGCCUUCGGAUCUUAAGUAGAAGGUAUACCCGACAGUUUCCUUAGGGUAUCCUAUGAAUACGCAUUUUUCCGACUUGGGUUCGAGCUUUUCAGGUUGAAGUUUCUUGACAUAAGCAUCGCAUCCCCAAACUUUUAGAAACGACAGCUUAGGUUUCUUUCCAAACCAUAAUUCAUACGGUGUCGUCUCAACGGAUAUAGACGGUGCCCUAUUUAAAGUGAAUGUAGCUGUCUCUAGAGCGUAUCCCCAAAAAGAUAGCGGUAAAUCGGUAAGAGACAUCAUAGACCGCACCAUAUCCAAUAGAGUGCGAUUACGACGUUCGGACACACCGUUUCGCUGAGGUGUUCCAGGCGGCAUGAGUUGUGAAACGAUUCCACAUUUUCUUAAGUGUGUACCAAAUUCGUGACUUAAGUAUUCUCCUCCACGAUCUGAUCGUAGGAACUUUAUCUUUUGGUCACGUUGAUUCUCCACCUCAUUCUGAAAUUCCUUGAACUUUUCAAAGGUUUCAGACUUGUGUUUCAUUAAGUAAACAUACCCAUAUCUACUCAAGUCAUCAGUGAGAGUGAGAACAUAACGAUAUCCUCCGCGAGCCUCAACGCUCAUUGGACCGCACACAUCGGUAUGUAUGAUUUCCAACAAGUUGGUUGCUCGCUCCAUUGUUCCGGAGAACGGAGUCUUGGUCAUUUUGCCUAAGAGGCAAGGUUCGCAUGUGUCAAAGGAUUCAUAAUCAAGAGAUUCUAAAAGUCCAUCAGCAUGGAGCUUCUUCAUGCGCUUGACACCAAUGUGACCAAGGCGGCAGUGCCACAAGUAUGUGGGACUAUCGUUAUCAACUUUACAUCUUUUGGCAUCCACACUAUGAACAUGUGUAAUAUUACGCUCGAGAUUCAUUAAGAAUAAACCAUUGACCAUCGGAGCAUGACCAUAAAACAUAUCUCUCAUAUAAAUCGAACAACCAUUAUUCUCAGACUUAAAUGAGUAGCCAUCUCGUAUUAAACGAGAUCCAGAUACAAUGUUCAUGCUCAAACAUGGCACUAAAUAACAAUUAUUAAGGUUUAAAACUAAUCCCGUAGGUAAAUGUAGAGGCAGCGUGCCGACGGCGAUCACAUCGACUAUGGAACCAUUCCCGACGCGCAUCGUCACCUCGUCCUUCGCCAGUCUCCGUUUAUUCCGCAGCUCCUGCUGUGAGUUACAAAUAUGAGCAACGGCACCAGUAUCAAAUACCCAGGAGUUACUACGAGUACUGGUAAGGUACACAUCAAUUACAUGUAUAUCAAAUAUACCUUUAGUGUUGCCGGCCUUCUUAUCCGCUAAGUAUUUGGGGCAGUUCCGCUUCCAGUGACCCUUCCCCUUGCAAUAAAAGCACUCAGUCUCAGGCUUGGGUCCAUUCUUUGACUUCUUCCCGGCAACAGGCUUACCGGGCGCGACAACAUCUUUGCCGUCCUUCUUGAAGUUCUUCUUACCCUUGCCCUUCUUGAACUUAGUGGUCUUAUUGACCAUCAACACUUGAUGUUCUUUCUUGAUUUCAGCCUCUGCUGACUUCAGCAUCGAGAACACUUCAGGAAUGGUCUUUUCCAUCCCCUGCAUGUUGUAGUUCAUCACAAAGCUUUUGUAGCUUGGUGGGAGCGACUGGAGGAUUCUGUCAAUGACCGCCUCAUCUGGGAGGUUAAUAUUCAGCUGGGUCAUACGGUUGUGCAACCCAGACAUCUUUAAGAUGUGCUCACUGACAGAACUGUUCUCCUCCAUCUUACAACUGUAGAACUUGUCGGAGACAUCAUAUCUCUCAACCCGGGCAUGAGCUUGGAAAACUAGUUUCAGCUCUUCGAACAUCUCAUAUGCUCCGUGAUGCUCAAAACGCUUUUGGAGCCCCGGUUCUAAGCUGUAGAGCAUGCCGCACUGAACGAGGGAGUAAUCAUCAACACAAGAUUGCCAAGCGUUCAUAACGUCUUGGUUCUCUGGGACGGGAGCGUCACCUAGCGGUUCGUCUAGGACAUAUUGUUUCCUGGCAGCUAUGAGGAUGAUCCUCAGGUUCCGGACCCAGUCCGUAUAGUUGCUGCCAUCAUCUUUCAGCUUGGUUUUCUCUAGGAACGCGUUGAAGUUCAUGUUGACAUUAGCGUUGGCCAUUGAUCUACAAGACAUAUUUGCAAAGGUUUUAGACUAAGUUCAUGAUAAUAAAGUUCUAAUCAAAAUUAUGAACUCCCACUUAGAUUAGACAUCCCUCUAGUCAUCUAAGUGUUACACGAUCCGAGUCGACUAGCCCGUGUCCGAUCAUCACGUGAGACGGACUAGUCAUCGUCGGUGAACAUCUUCAUGUUGAUCGUAUCUUCCAUACGACUCAUGUUCGACCUUUCGGUCUCCGUGUUCCGAGGCCAUGUCUGCACAUGCUAGGCUCGUCAAGUUAACCCUAAGUGUUUUCGCUGUGUAAAACUGUCUUACACCCGUUGUAUGUGAACGUAAGAAUCCAUCACACCCGAUCAUCACGUGGUGCUUAGAAGCGACGGACUGUAGCAACGGUGCACAGUUAGGGGAGAACACUUCUUGAAAUUUUGUAAGGGAUCAUCUUAUUUACUACCGUCGUCCUAAGUAAACAAGAUGCAUAAACAUAAUAAACAUCACAUGCAAUUAUAUAGUUGUGACAUGAUAUGGCCAAUAUCAUAAAGCUCCAUUGAUCUCCAUCUUCGGGGCUCCAUGAUCAUCUUGUCACCGGCUUGACACCAUGAUCUCCAUCAUCAUGAUCUCCAUCAUCGUGUCUUCAUGAAGUUGUCACGCCAACGACUACUUCUACUUCUAUGACUAACGCGUUUAGCAAUGAAGUAAAGUAGUUUACAUGGCAUUCUUCAAUGACACGCAGGUCAUACAAAAAAUAAAGACAACUCCUAUGGCUCCUGCCGGUUGUCAUACUCAUCGACAUGCAAGUCGUGAAUCCUAUUACAAGAACAUGAUCUCAUACAUCACAAUUCAUCAUUCAUCACAACUUCUGGCCAUAUCACAUCACAUGAUCAAUCGCUGCAAAAACAAGUUAGACGUCCUCUAAUUGUUGUUGCAUCUUUUACGUGGCUGCGAUUGGGUUCUAGCAAGAACGUUUUCUUACCUACGAAUCACCACAACGUGAUUUUGUCAACUUCUAUUUACCCUUCAUAAGGGCCUUGUUCAUCGAAUCCGCUCCAACUAAAGUGGGAGAGACAGACACCCGCCAGCCACCUUAUGCAACUAGUGCAUGUCAGUCGGUGGAACCGGUCUCACGUAAGCGUACAUGUAAGGUUGGUCCGGGCCGCUUCAUCCCACAAUACCGUUGAGCAAGAAAAGACUAGUAG
This 7646-nucleotide long non-coding RNA is filed under the name Triticum aestivum (bread wheat). RNAcentral's name for it is "long non-coding RNA (TAES_LNC008205)". The record is from RNAcentral. Lineage: Eukaryota; Viridiplantae; Streptophyta; Magnoliopsida; Poales; Poaceae.